Molecule: non-coding RNA, 235 nt
Filed under: Bacillus sp. (in: firmicutes)
Lineage: Bacteria; Bacillati; Bacillota; Bacilli; Caryophanales; Bacillaceae
Description: Bacillus sp. T-box sequence
Rfam family: T-box leader
About the family: Uncharged tRNA acts as the effector for transcription antitermination of genes in the T-box leader family. T-boxes are found upstream of many aminoacyl-tRNA synthetase genes and some amino acid biosynthetic genes usually in Gram-positive bacteria.
Source: RNAcentral
UUUGAACCAUUGAUGGAGAAGAGUAGUCAAGAUGACACAUGAUAAGAGAGGAAAAGCCGUGGCUGAAAGCUUUUCGCAUGAUGACUUGAUGAAGAGAACACUCCUUAGGUUUCCCUCUGAAAGAUGCUGCUUGCAUUUAAUAGGAGGUGGACGUGACAGGCGUUAACUGUCUUGAGUGGGAGCAUUUAAUGCUUCAACUAGGGUGGCACCACGGGAUCUAACUCUCGUCCCUACA